UAUACAAAAAAAAAAAAAAAAUCUACCCAUCAUGGACAAAGGACCUGAGUUUAGAAUGAAAGCGAAGACGACAGGAAAGAAGAACCUAGCCCAUAAUUCAGUAGAGCUCUAUUUUUGUCUAGCUCCUUUACCAAAGGAGUCACAGGAGGUUAAAAUGCUAGCAUGGUGAUGACCCAGCCUCAAUCCUGAUUGACUACAACACCCUUGAGAAGACACAACAAUGAAAUAGAAGGAACCUUAAUUUCUACUCUAGACAGGAAAGAAGAAAGAGAACACACCUUCAUCGCUCCUAUUUUUUCAUCAACCACAGUAGCUAAUAUAUUCACUGAUACAUCAAAAGAAAAACUCCAACCAUCCUGUUUUCUUUCACUCAAGCAAAAUCAACUUUCCUCAUUUCCCAACAAAUAUUUCAUCAGGAUGCUAUCAUAUUGUGUAUAUUAAAAUAGUUCUCCAUUAGUCUUCUAGU
Leopardus geoffroyi (Geoffroy's cat) is the source of this 466-nucleotide long non-coding RNA. RefSeq lists it as uncharacterized. The record is from RefSeq and is a predicted model, not a curated record. NCBI's taxonomy places the organism in Eukaryota, Metazoa, Chordata, Mammalia, Carnivora, Felidae. The transcript has 3 exons.